GGGCAACUUAGAAUAGGGCUGUCUGAAACAACACUGAGAAAAGUCCCUGAAAUUGAUGGUCAAGAUCGUGACAUAAGUACCAGAAGGAUUAAAUCCAAGCUGCUGGUGCUCAUUGCUGUUUCUGAUGUUGCAAGUUCUCUUCUUGACCACAGCUAAACAGAGAAGGAAAAAAAAGAAAGACACCAAAGGACCUGGACCAGUCCGAAUGGAAGCAUUAGCUGGACCACUGGAGCAGAAGCAUAUGCUGCUCAUCUCAUUCCUACUGAUAGCCCAGGAAUGCUGCAUCCCAGCAGCGAUGGCCCUGUGCCUCACCCAGCAGAUAACAGCCCUGUUCUGCACUCGGAUACGGACGCAUAAAGCCAGCAGCAGUACUCAUGCAAAAAUCAUGAGAUUAAGCACCAGUUUGAGAAUCCUGCAAACAGGGAAGGGCUGGAGUUGGUACUGCGGGAAGAGGGCCAUCCUUGGAGUCUUGUGGUGAGAGCAGCUCUGGGCACAGCAGAGCCCUCUGCCUCGCUGCUUCCGCGCUGCAGUCUGCUCGGCCUGCAAGGGGAAGGUCUGUGCAACAAACAAAAGGCAGCUUUGACGUCAAAACCUGGGACCGUUGCCCUGGCACUGGGAGGUGGAGCGCAGGAAGGAAUCCGCCGCUAAUAGGCUCUGGACUGGAGUGCACUUUGGCAGAGGGACAGCUACUACCCCUUCUUUCCAGGAAUAAUACUGUUUAUUUCUAUCUCACUCUCUCUGGCUAAAGUUACCCUACUCAGGUUUCGCUUCACCUGUCUCCACCAUAGAAUCAUCAGAGCCAGGAAAAUUCCAGUCUGCAGACUCCCCAUCUUCCAUACCCCCUUCCCCGAAGAGCUGCACUGCCUACUUUUUCUGUUUCCUUGCUUUGACAUGUUUGCAACCACAGCUUUCUCUUGCUGAAGGGUUUGGUGGUACCAUUUAAUAAAUAAGCGCGUGCAUUUUGCUCUGUAUGUGCACACACGUGUAGCACCUUGCUCCUGCCUGCCCAGGAGCACUGACCUCUGCAGCUCUGUGUGCACGGAGCUCCCAGCAGCAGGACAUAUCUCUGCCUUGCGCAAAUGGC
Molecule: long non-coding RNA, 1084 nt
Organism: Gallus gallus (chicken)
Lineage: Eukaryota; Metazoa; Chordata; Aves; Galliformes; Phasianidae
Source: Ensembl